GUUUAUUCUCUGCCUUUCUGCAACAACCUUGUACAUGUUUGACAUCUCCUGUUUAUCCCCUGACCAAUUCUCCAUCUCUCUUUCCCCAGAUUUUCAGCCCUGGUGCUGGUCUCCACUGCAACUUUCCUCUCCGUACUUGCUUGAGCACAGUGCUGAAGACCAGACAGUGGCUCUCCAGGCAUAUAUGUAUCUGGGUGAUGUUGUGCAGCAAGUGACAGUGUCUAGGAAACAUCCCCAGAACAUCACAAAAAUAUCUGCGCUCCUGAUUUGGGGAGAGGAUGUGCUGCAUGGCCCAGAGGAAGCUCACGAGCAUCUCUCACCUGAGGAACCAGCCACCAAAUUUGUCGACAGUUUACAUGGUACACAGGAGGCAACUCUGCCCUGGGCAGGCCAGGAAAGAUGCUGGGCUCCACAGCUUCCUUUUCUGUUGACUGGCAAGAUGGUGCUUUGUCAGUUCUGUGGGCUCCAUGAGCACAAGCUUGUUCAGACACGACUCCUGGGGACAGAGCUGCUGGCUGGAUUGCUGGACACACCGACAGCAAAGGGAAAUGUUCUCCUCCUUAAUCCAUGCACGAGGCGGUAAUGCAG
Molecule: long non-coding RNA, 588 nt
Filed under: Cairina moschata (Muscovy duck)
Lineage: Eukaryota; Metazoa; Chordata; Aves; Anseriformes; Anatidae
Description: domestica (muscovy Duck (domestic type)) lncRNA (ENSCMMG00000015325.1)
Source: RNAcentral